GCGAAGUCAUAAAGAUAGAUCCGAACAUUAUGAAGGAGCAGGUGGACUUCCAAUUGCAUUAUAUCAUCUUGAAUCUAGUCUAUCAUGAUGGUAGAGUCUCUCUCAAUGAUGAUUUUUUUUAUCGAGCACAGAUAAUAUAUGCUCAAAUGAUAUGAAUCUCAGCAUCUGAAAUAGAAUGCUGAGAAAAAAAGUGAACUCCCCGGC
Molecule: long non-coding RNA, 204 nt
Filed under: Elaeis guineensis (African oil palm)
Lineage: Eukaryota; Viridiplantae; Streptophyta; Magnoliopsida; Arecales; Arecaceae
Description: long non-coding RNA (EGUI_LNC079221)
Source: RNAcentral